Molecule: ribosomal RNA, 497 nt
Filed under: uncultured bacterium
Lineage: Bacteria
Description: partial 16S ribosomal RNA
Rfam family: Bacterial small subunit ribosomal RNA
Source: RNAcentral
GACGAACGCUGGCGGCGUGCCUAAUACAUGCAAGUAGAACGCUGAAGCUUGGUGCUUGCACCGAGCGGAUGAGUUGCGAACGGGUGAGUAACGCGUAGGUAACCUGCCUGGUAGCGGGGGAUAACUAUUGGAAACGAUAGCUAAUACCGCAUAGGAGUAGAUGUUGCAUGACAUUUGCUUAAAAGGUGCAAUUGCAUCACUACCAGAUGGACCUGCGUUGUAUUAGCUAGUUGGUGAGGUAACGGCUCACCAAGGCAACGAUACAUAGCCGACCUGAGAGGGUGAUCGGCCACACUGGGACUGAGACACGGCCCAGACUCCUACGGGAGGCAGCAGUAGGGAAUCUUCGGCAAUGGACGGAAGUCUGACCGAGCAACGCCGCGUGAGUGAAGAAGGUUUUCGGAUCGUAAAGCUCUGUUGUAAGAGAAGAACGAGUGUGAGAGUGGAAAGUUCACACUGUGACGGUAUCUUACCAGAAAGGGACGGCUAACUACGUG